This 72-nucleotide transfer RNA is filed under the name Camelus bactrianus (Bactrian camel). It matches the Rfam family "tRNA". Rfam says of the family: Transfer RNA (tRNA) molecules are approximately 80 nucleotides in length. Their secondary structure includes four short double-helical elements and three loops (D, anti-codon, and T loops). Further hydrogen bonds mediate the characteristic L-shaped molecular structure. tRNAs have two regions of fundamental functional importance: the anti-codon, which is responsible for specific mRNA codon recognition, and the 3' end, to which the tRNAs corresponding amino acid is attached (by aminoacyl-tRNA synthetases). tRNAs cope with the degeneracy of the genetic code in two manners: having more than one tRNA (with a specific anti-codon) for a particular amino acid; and 'wobble' base-pairing, i.e. permitting non-standard base-pairing at the 3rd anti-codon position. The record is from Rfam by way of RNAcentral. Lineage: Eukaryota; Metazoa; Chordata; Mammalia; Artiodactyla; Camelidae. RNAcentral also lists the same sequence under 2 other names.
UGGGGAAUAGCUCAGUGGUAGAGUGCAUGUUUGGCAUGCACGAGGUCCUGGGUUCAAUCCUCAGUACCUCCA